UAACGCGUGGGUAACCUGCCCUGUACACACGGAUAACAUACCGAAAGGUAUGCUAAUACGAGAUAACAUAAGAAAAUCGCAUGUUUUUCUUAUCAAAGCUCCGGCGGUACAGGAUGGACCCGCGUCUGAUUAGCUAGUUGGUGAGGUAAUGGCUCACCAAGGCGACGAUCAGUAGCCGACCUGAGAGGGUGAUCGGCCACAUUGGAACUGAGACACGGUCCAAACUCCUACGGGAGGCAGCAGUGGGGAAUAUUGCACAAUGGGCGAAAGCCUGAUGCAGCAACGCCGCGUGGGCGAUGAAGGCCUUCGGGUCGUAAAGCUCUGUCCUCAAGGAAGAUAAUGACGGUACUUGAGGAGGAAGCCCCGGCUAACUACGUGCCAGCAGCCGCGGUAAUACGUAGGGGGCUAGCGUUAUCCGGAUUUACUGGGCGUAAAGGGUGCGUAGGCGGUCUUUUAAGUCAGGAGUGAAAGGCUACGGCUCAACCGUAGUAAGCUCUUGAAACUGGAGGACUUGAGUGCAGGAGAGGAGAGUGGAAUUCCUAGUGUAGCGGUGAAAUGCGUAGAUAUUAGGAGGAACAUCAGUAGCGAAGGCGGCUCUCUGGACUGUAACUGACGCUGAGGCACGAAAGCGUGGGGAGCAAACAGGAUUAGAUACCCUGGUAGUCCACGCCGUAAACGAUGAGUACUAGCUGU
Molecule: ribosomal RNA, 693 nt
Filed under: uncultured bacterium
Lineage: Bacteria
Description: bacterial SSU rRNA
Rfam family: Bacterial small subunit ribosomal RNA
Source: RNAcentral